AUGUUCGAUCCUGCGGAUCAGGAGCUGAUCGAGCACCUUGAGGCCAAAGUGAGUGCUGAUAGCGCGAGAUCUCACCCUCUCAUCGAUUUGUUCAUACCAACCAUCGACGUCGAGCACGACAUAUGCUACACCCAACCUGAGAAACUUCCAUACUGGUGA
This 159-nucleotide ribosomal RNA is filed under the name Triticum aestivum (bread wheat). RNAcentral describes it as "partial small subunit ribosomal RNA". Lineage: Eukaryota; Viridiplantae; Streptophyta; Magnoliopsida; Poales; Poaceae. The record is from RNAcentral.